GACGAACGCUGACGGCGUGCUUAACACAUGCAAGUCGAGCGGUAAGGCCCUUUCGGGGGUACACGAGCGGCGAACGGGUGAGUAACACGUGGGUGACCUGCCCUCAGCUCUGGGAUAAGCCUGGGAAACUGGGUCUAAUACUGGAUAUGACUCCACGGUGCAUGUCGUGGGGUGGAAAGCCUUGUGCGGCUGAGGAUGGGCCCGCGGCCUAUCAGCUUGUUGGUGGGGGAUGGCCUACCAAGGCGACGACGGGUAGCCGGCCUGAGAGGGCGACCGGCCACACUGGGACCGAGACACGGCCCAGACUCCUACGGGAGGCAGCAGUGGGGAAUCUUGCGCAAUGGGCGAAAGCCUGACGCAGCGACGCCGCGUGAGGGAUGACGGCCUGGUGUAAC
RNAcentral lists this ribosomal RNA (395 nucleotides) under uncultured bacterium. Its description in RNAcentral is "bacterial SSU rRNA". It matches the Rfam family "Bacterial small subunit ribosomal RNA", at positions 28 to 429 of the family's 1533-position model. The record is from RNAcentral.